GUGGGGAAUCUUGCGCAAUGGUCUAACGACUGACGCAGCGACGCCGCGUGUGGGAGGACGCCUUUCGGGGUGUAAACCACUGUUGCCCGGGACGAACAGCCCUUUUCGAGGGGUCUGACGGUACCGGGUGAGGAAGCCCCGGCUAACUCUGUGCCAGCAGCCGCGGUAAUACAGAGGGGGCCAGCGUUAUUCGGAAUUAUUGGGCGUAAAGGGCGCGUAGGCGGCCACGCGUGUCUUCCGUGAAAUCCCUCGGCUCAACCGAGGACGUGCGGAAGAAACUGCGAGGCUCGAGUCCAGAAGAGGGGGGCGGAAUUCCCAGUGUAGCGGUGAAAUGCGUAGAUAUUGGGAGGAACACCGGUGGCGAAGGCGGCCCCCUGGGCUGGUACUGACGCUGAUGCGCGAAAGCGUGGGUAGCAAACGGGAUUAGAAACCCUAGUAGUCC
Molecule: ribosomal RNA, 442 nt
Filed under: uncultured bacterium
Lineage: Bacteria
Description: bacterial SSU rRNA
Rfam family: Bacterial small subunit ribosomal RNA
Source: RNAcentral